ACAAAUAACAACAAUGAUCAGACUAAUAGAGUAAUAGUGAUUAUAUAUGAU
RNAcentral lists this non-coding RNA (51 nucleotides) under Trypanosoma brucei brucei. Lineage: Eukaryota; Euglenozoa; Kinetoplastea; Trypanosomatida; Trypanosomatidae. The record is from RNAcentral.